UGCCAAUCACUUCUGAAGCAGCUCAAACCCCUUGAUAAGGUGCCAGGAUCUCUUUUUCAGUCGGGGUGUAACAGUGUUGGGUACUUUGUAUGCU
Long non-coding RNA from Corapipo altera (White-ruffed manakin), 94 nucleotides. RefSeq lists it as uncharacterized. The record is from RefSeq and is a predicted model, not a curated record. NCBI's taxonomy places the organism in Eukaryota, Metazoa, Chordata, Aves, Passeriformes, Pipridae. The transcript has 3 exons.